Molecule: ribosomal RNA, 1398 nt
Filed under: Triticum aestivum (bread wheat)
Lineage: Eukaryota; Viridiplantae; Streptophyta; Magnoliopsida; Poales; Poaceae
Description: partial small subunit ribosomal RNA
Source: RNAcentral
AUGACCCGCUUGCAUCAUAGGCGUGUCUCAAUGGCUAGGUCGAACAGGUCUUCUUCUAGUGCCUCCGUAGGAAACAAUGGAUCAACUCAGUCAACUGUACAGGCUAAAAAGCCUAGAACACCAAGAACUAGGACUACAGCCGGUCUCAGACUAGAGGAAAUUGACCGACCGCUUAUAGUUCCCAUUGGCAUGGCAUGGGAAAGGCACCCAUACAGUGCUCGUGAUCCAUCAACGGUGUUAGGUGCCUUAGUGCGCCAGAUGUAUCCACCGCCAAUUGGUCCAAAAAAUGAUCAGAAACCGGUAUUGUGUUGGGAGGACUACAAGUGGUCCCCUGGUCCAGAAGUAAGAACAGCAGCUUCCAAAAUAGUGGAAGAAUUUUGGUGGCGUUUCAAGUGUGACCCAUCGGAGCAAGAGAAGGCAGAUGGUGUUUUGGAGGAGAACUUAACUAGGAAAGUGAAGCAGAUGCUACAUGAGGAAAAGGCGGCAGCCAUCAAAAGAUUAAAGAAGAAGGGACAAUUGCCUACAGAACUAACAGAAGAGGAUGAGGAUGGGUUAUCUUUAACCAACAAAAGGAAUAGACUUGCUAAUGGGGACACGGUCUUCCAUUGCAGUGGUGCUAGAAAUGUUGUCGCCACAUGUCAAUUUCUGAAACUCAAAACCGGGAAAGACCCUGGAAUUUCUGGUGCUUGGCUUCACACGCACAAAUUGCAUCGAGGGACUGAUGAAGAGCAGAUAUGCAGUCAAAGAACUGCUGAUCAUUGGGAGGAUUUUGAUAAGGCAAUGAAAAAUGCCCAUGGAGAAAAUUGGGAAGAGGAGCACCCGGAUUUAGAUGGACAAAUCAUCUACGAAGCAGCAGGCAGAAUGCCACAUGGCAGGCUGGGAAUUGCUAAUGAGUUGUUUAGCAAAGCAGAGAAGGCGAAGUUUAAGUCUAAAAGGGCGAUGGCCUCACAGCCGGUGCAAUCUGCUAAGGAGGAGCGUCUAGAAAGAGAAAACAAAUAUUUGAAGCAGGAGAUCAAUCGUCUUCGAGGCAUUGAGCUUGUUGUUCAGUCUUUGGCUGAGAAAGGGGGAGUCGACUUUGAUGGCAUAAUGCAAUCAGCAACAGAUGACUUGUCUCCAUCAUAUUCUGAAGGCGGAUUUCAAAGGGGACGAGGUGAUGUGCCUCAACACCAAACCGAAAAGGGAAUGGGAAGCAGGACUGGAGGCAGUACGAGUCAUGGAAAUGAUGAUGAGGACGACGACUAUGGCAAUGGGGGAUAUGGUAACUAUGGCGAGGGUGAUCUGUAUGGUGAUGAGCACUAUGAUCACUAUGGUGAUGGGGAAUAUGAUGACUAUGGAGAUGAGGAUGACUAUGUCUAUGGCUAUGGCGGUGGCGAUGGCGAUGAUGAUGAUUGGCUAUAA